This 440-nucleotide ribosomal RNA is filed under the name uncultured bacterium. RNAcentral's name for it is "partial 16S ribosomal RNA". It matches the Rfam family "Bacterial small subunit ribosomal RNA", at positions 338 to 795 of the family's 1533-position model. The record is from RNAcentral.
CCUACGGGAGGCAGCAGUGGGGGAUAUUGCACAAUGGGGGAAACCCUGAUGCAGCGACGCCGCGUGUGGGAAGACGGUCCUCUGGAUUGUAAACCACUGUCCCCAGGGACGAAAAUGACGGUACUUGGGGAGGAAGCUCCGGCUAACUACGUGCCAGCAGCCGCGGUAAUACGUAGGGAGCGAGCGUUGUUCGGAAUUACUGGGUGAAAAGGGAGCGUAGGCGGGGAUGCAAGUUGGGUGUCAAAACUACCGGCUAAACUGGUAGUCGCACUCGAAACUGCAGCUCUUGAGUGAAGUAGAGGCAGGCGGAAUUCCUGGUGUAGCGGUGAAAUGCGUAGAUAUUAGGAAGAACACCAGUGGCGAAGGCGGCCUGCUGGGCUUUUACUGACGCUGAGGCUCGAAAGUGUGGGGAGCAAACAGGAUUAGAUACCCCAGUAGUC